RNAcentral lists this ribosomal RNA (602 nucleotides) under uncultured bacterium. Its description in RNAcentral is "bacterial SSU rRNA". The stretch from base 1 to 533 matches the Rfam family "Bacterial small subunit ribosomal RNA", at positions 338 to 873 of the family's 1533-position model. The record is from RNAcentral.
CCUACGGGAGGCAGCAGUAAGGAAUAUUGGUCAAUGGACGCAAGUCUGAACCAGCCAUGCCGCGUGAAGGAUUAAGGCCCUCUGGGUUGUAAACUUCUUUUAUAGGGGACGAAAAAAGGGCAUUCUUGCUCACUUGACGGUACCCUAGGAAUAAGCACCGGCUAACUCCGUGCCAGCAGCCGCGGUAAUACGGAGGGUGCAAGCGUUAUCCGGAUUUACUGGGUUUAAAGGGUGCGUAGGUGGGUUGGUAAGUCAGUGGUGAAAUCUUCGAGCUUAACUCGGAAACUGCCAUUGAUACUAUCAAUCUUGAAUCAUCUAGAGGUAAGCGGAAUAUGUCAUGUAGCGGUGAAAUGCUUAGAUAUGACAUAGAACACCAAUUGCGAAGGCAGCUUACUAUGGAUGCAUUGACACUGAGGCACGAAAGCGUGGGGAUCAAACAGGAUUAGAUACCCUGGUAGUCCACGCCCUAAACGAUGGAUACUCGACAUUUGUGAUAUACAAUAAGUGUCUGAGCGAAAGNAUAAUAUACCACCNGGAGACGACGCGAGUAGUAAGUAAGUAAGUAGAGCGNGAGAGAGACGAGACGACGACGAGGGAGGAGG